GGGGUGUCGGGAAAGAUUUCAUCGGUAUGGGAUGGGGUCGCGUCCUAUCAGGUAGUCGGCGGGGUAACGGCCCACCGAGCCUACGACGGGUAGCCGGCCUGAGAGGGCGACCGGCCACAUUGGGACUGAGAUACGGCCCAGACUCCUACGGGAGGCAGCAGUGGGGAAUAUUGCACAAUGGGCGCAAGCCUGAUGCAGCGACGCCGCGUGCGGGAUGACGGCCUUCGGGUUGUAAACCGCUUUUGAUCGGGAGCAAGCCUUCGGGUGAGUGUACCUUUCGAAUAAGCACCGGCUAACUACGUGCCAGCAGCCGCGGUAAUACGUAGGGUGCAAGCGUUAUCCGGAAUUAUUGGGCGUAAAGGGCUCGUAGGCGGUUCGUCGCGUCCGGUGUGAAAGUCCAUCGCUUAACGGUGGAUCUGCGCCGGGUACGGGCGGGCUGGAGUGCGGUAGGGGAGACUGGAAUUCCCGGUGUAACGGUGGAAUGUGUAGAUAUCGGGAAGAACACCA
Molecule: ribosomal RNA, 507 nt
Filed under: Bifidobacterium pseudocatenulatum
Lineage: Bacteria; Bacillati; Actinomycetota; Actinomycetes; Bifidobacteriales; Bifidobacteriaceae
Description: bacterial SSU rRNA
Rfam family: Bacterial small subunit ribosomal RNA
Source: RNAcentral